This 465-nucleotide ribosomal RNA is filed under the name uncultured Klebsiella sp. RNAcentral describes it as "bacterial SSU rRNA". It matches the Rfam family "Bacterial small subunit ribosomal RNA", at positions 338 to 795 of the family's 1533-position model. The record is from RNAcentral. Lineage: Bacteria; Pseudomonadati; Pseudomonadota; Gammaproteobacteria; Enterobacterales; Enterobacteriaceae.
CCUACGGGGGGCAGCAGUGGGGAAUAUUGCACAAUGGGCGCAAGCCUGAUGCAGCCAUGCCGCGUGUGUGAAGAAGGCCUUCGGGUUGUAAAGCACUUUCAGCGGGGAGGAAGGCGGUGAGGUUAAUACCCUCAUCGAUUGACGUUACCCGCAGAAGAAGCACCGGCUAACUCCGUGCCAGCAGCCGCGGUAAUACGGAGGGUGCAAGCGUUAAUCGGAAUUACUGGGCGUAAAGCGCACGCAGGCGGUCUGUCAAGUCGGAUGUGAAAUCCCCGGGCUCAACCUGGGAACUGCAUUCGAAACUGGCAGGCUAGAGUCUUGUAGAGGGGGGUAGAAUUCCAGGUGUAGCGGUGAAAUGCGUAGAGAUCUGGAGGAAUACCGGUGGCGAAGGCGGCCCCCUGGACAAAGACUGACGCUCAGGUGCGAAAGCGUGGGGAGCAAACAGGAUUAGAUACCCAGGUAGUC